GCUGGCGGCAUGCCUCAUACAUGCAAGUCGAACGAGGUCUUCGGACCUAGUGGCGCACGGGUGAGUAACAUGUGGGAAUCUGCCUGAAGGUUCGGAAUAACUGCGGGAAACUGUAGCUAAUACCGGAUGUGUCUGCAAAGAGAAAGAUUUAUCGCCUUCAGAUGAGCCCGCACUAGAUUAGCUAGUUGGUGAGGUAACUGCUCCACCAAGGCUACGAUCUAUAGCUGAUUUGAGAGGAUGAUCAGCCACACUGGGACUGAGACACGGCCCAGACUCCUACGGGAGGCAGCAGUAGGGAAUAUUGGACAAUGGGGGAAACCCUGAUCCAGCAAUGCCGCGUGAGUGAAGAAGGCCUUCGGGUUGUAAAACUCUUUCAUCAAUGAUGAUAAUGACAUUAGUUGAAGAAGAAGCUCCGGCUAACUUCGUGCCAGCAGCCGCGGUAAUACGAAGGGGGCUAGCGUUGUUCGGAAUCACUGGGCGUAAAGCGUAUGUAGGCGGAUCAAAAAGUUAGAUGUGAAAUCCCUGGGCUCAACCCAGGAACUGCAUUUAAAACUAGUGAUCUAGAAUUUGGUAGGGGUUAGUAGAAUUUCCAGUGUAGAGGUGAAAUUCGUAGAUAUUGGAAAGAAUACCAGUGGCGAAGGCGACUAACUGGGCCAUUUUUGACGCUGAGAUACGAAAGCGUGGGUAGCAAACAGGAUUAGAUACCCUGGUAGUCCACGCAGUAAACGAUGAGUGCUAGUCGCUGGGACAAUAGUUUCAGUGUCGAAGCUAACGCAUUAAGCACUCCGCCUGGGAAGUACGGU
RNAcentral lists this ribosomal RNA (803 nucleotides) under uncultured Alphaproteobacteria bacterium. Its description in RNAcentral is "bacterial SSU rRNA". It matches the Rfam family "Bacterial small subunit ribosomal RNA", at positions 35 to 886 of the family's 1533-position model. The record is from RNAcentral. Lineage: Bacteria; Pseudomonadati; Pseudomonadota; Alphaproteobacteria.